Molecule: long non-coding RNA, 2496 nt
Organism: Mustela erminea (ermine)
Lineage: Eukaryota; Metazoa; Chordata; Mammalia; Carnivora; Mustelidae
Exons: 3
Source: RefSeq, a predicted model, not a curated record
CGAUGGAAGCCAACAGGAAGCUCGAGAGCCCCAGAGGGCCCAUGGAGGCCAGCCUCCAAGGAAGGGCAAAGGGUAGUAAGAAGGAGGAAAGGCUUCUCCUCUACCCCCUUAAGGACACAGGAGCCUUCCUAGAAAAGAAAUGAAGAGCCAAAGAAGCGGAUUGGCCUGAGAGUUUUAUACCAGUUCCACAAAGAACAAUAGAGUGUGGAGAUGUGCCAAGACGAAGGGAGAAGAGGUCUGGGCUGGGGCAGUAAAUACUGGGAUAUUGGCUAAGAACACAUAGGAGGGAAACUAAUGGCACCUAAGGGUGUUUUUGUAGGUUGGCUGGUACAGCUUCAACUCAGGUGGUGGAGAGGCCCCGUUCUCCUGGGAAGUGUGUCCUACUUUCAAGGUCGAAAGGGAAGAGAAGGGAGUUCUUCCUGCUGCUGCUUCUAUUUCUCAAGUGCUUUCUUGCUCGGAACAAUCAAUGUGUCAAAGUGGCACAUUUCGGGGGAGCCUGUUCCGAUCCUCUUCAGUGGGGAAGUGCCAGGCAUGGAGCUGGAGGGACACGGUGCCCUUCUUCGUUGCCCCACAACAUGCGUGUCCCAUGCCCCCGCUCCGUUCUCCAGUCCCGCCUCUCCUGCUGGACUCGGAUCGUUUCACUGCUGGACUCUCCAGCAAGUCUGUCGGCUUCAUCUCUCUACCCCGGCCCUGUCACAGCGACAGGCACAUGACAGGAACUUGGUUAUUCACUGGAAGAAGACUUCACGCGAGUUUCCCAUAAAACCUCGAGUCUUAUGUUUUGGCAACACAAGAGAGACAGAGAGAAGGUUGGAUCUGCCUGCUUUGAGUCCUCUGCCAAAAGCCGACUCCGAGCUCUCUGGAGAAGCAACGCUUUCAAAGCCAGCGAAGUGCCAGGCGCCGGAGUCCCAAAGCGAAGCGGCGGGCUCGCGAAGAACGCGUUCACACAAACUACCCCCGGUGGUGGGUGGGGAGGUGGUUCUGCUUUAACAUCCUAUUAGCACAUGAUCUUCAGCUUCCCAAGCUUCCCUGGGUUCCAAACCUACAGGUGGUGAUCGUGGGUGGGAAGGAGGUUGGGUAAGAUGCUCCUCAGUUGGGAGGCAAAGCUGUUGGCGCCUCCUGGCUUGAUGAUUUUGCAAUUGGCUCUUGCUGGCACUACCCCUGCUGUUUCCUCCCUGGGAGACGCAGGCAUGCCUUGGGACUGACUGCAUGCCCGGAGCGAAAGCCAUGCGGAGCAGGAUCCACCCUAGGGGAUUAGAAUCACGGAUUUAAGCAUCUGCCCUCAGAGAACUGCAUGCUCUUUGGUGUGGGGGGGGGGGGGGGGAGUCCUGUCUCUUGUCCAGGUAACCCAGACCCCCCAUCAAGUGUCUAAUGCAGAGUUGGUGCCACCCCAUGAAAUGGAAACACUGGGGAGACUUGAGGACAGAGAUUUGGUAGUGAAGGGCUAAAUCCUAAAACCCACACGCCUCUUAGCGCUGCGAUGUCCCACCGUCUCUCAGAAGGAGGUGUUUCUGUUCCCGCCCUGUGGCUGAUGUGAUGAUCCAGAAAGACAUGGUGCUAGAAAUUCCAUGUGGCGUCAACUGCAAAGAUGGAACCCAGCUUAAUAUUGUAGAAGCCAUUGGCUUGUUGUAUGACGUUGGGCAAACUGAACCACGGCUGUGAACCCCAGCAGUCCAAUGAGGAGGUUGGAAACUGACAUAUCAGGUCCUUUACUUUUUUUGAAAUUCCUGGAAUUUCCUCCGCUACCAAACGCCUCAACUUUCCUUUUUGGCGGGGGGAAUAAGCCAAUCCGUGAAACAGCCCCCUGAAAAGGGUGGGGUGGGAGGCACUGUGCGGAAUUAAGAUCUUAACCAGUUUGGCCACUGCCCAAAGGAAAAACAGCACUGAAUUCUUUAGCUUCUCCGAGAACGUGCAGUGUGGAAAAUCAUCUUCCUUCGUGCAUUUUUGAAAAAAGAGUAAGGUAGAAGAGCCAUUGCAUUCUGUGCAUAACUUCUCUACUUACAGACAGAAUUUCUAAUGCAUUUUUUUUUUUUCUUUCCUGGAGGUGUAAAGGAGAAUCCCCACAGCUGGAAGAGUGUGGAAGUCAGGGGCUGUGCAGGAAUGCAGGCGUGAUGGCGAGACUGCACUUAAUUCAUUAAAAUGUGUGAUUUAUGAAAACCAUUUUGCCAAAAGUGAGCUUUGUGGGAAGGAAAAGGCAGUGGGGAUAUGCAUGUGGGGGGGGAAUGAGAGGAGUGAGAAGUGCCAAGAGAGAAGGAAGUCUUAUUUGUUGCUAAAGGUUGAAUCCCACAUAAGAACGCUUGGUGAGCCAAAGCAAGGAAAUUAAAAUGCAAAUCGGGGGAGUGGAAAUCUAUGAGGCACAGAUAUUAUGUACUGACAGCGCUACUGGGCUGCUCUGACACUAAUCGUGAAUAUUCUCCAAUGACCGAAAGUUUCAGGAAGCUUCUUUGGAGGUACCCUCCUUUCUCAUUCUUUUAUCCUUUCUCAAAUGAAAUGGCA